RNAcentral lists this ribosomal RNA (460 nucleotides) under uncultured bacterium. Its description in RNAcentral is "partial 16S ribosomal RNA". It matches the Rfam family "Bacterial small subunit ribosomal RNA", at positions 338 to 795 of the family's 1533-position model. The record is from RNAcentral.
CCUACGGGUGGCAGCAGUGAGGAAUAUUGGUCAAUGGGCGCGAGCCUGAACCAGCCAAGUCGCGUGAGGGAAGACGGCCCUACGGGUUGUAAACCUCUUUUGCCGGGGAGCAACGGGCGCCACGUGUGGCGCCACUGAGAGUACCCGGAGAAAAAGCAUCGGCUAACUCCGUGCCAGCAGCCGCGGUAAUACGGAGGAUGCGAGCGUUAUCGGGAUUUAUUGGGUUUACAGGGUGCGUAGGCGGAGCGUUAAGUCAGUGGUCAAAUUGAGGGGCUCAACCCCUUCCCGCCAUUGAAACUGGCGCACUUGAGUGGAAGAGAAGAGUGCGGAAUGCGUGGUGUAGCGGUGAAAUGCAUAGAUAUAACGCAGAACCCCGGUGGCGAAGGCAGCAUGCCGGCUUCCGACUGACGCUGAAGCACGAAAGCGUGGGGAUCGAACAGGAUUAGAUACCCUUGUAGUC